Molecule: long non-coding RNA, 238 nt
Filed under: Mytilus galloprovincialis (Mediterranean mussel)
Lineage: Eukaryota; Metazoa; Mollusca; Bivalvia; Mytilida; Mytilidae
Source: RNAcentral
CUGUGUAUAUAGAUUCUUAAUUUUUGGUCCCGUUUUCAAAUUGGUCUACAUUAAGGUCCAAAGGGUCCAAAAUUAAACUUAGUUUGAUUUUAACAAAAAUUGAAUCCUUGGGGUUUUUUGAUAUGCUGAAUCUAAAAAUGUACUUAGAUUUUUGAUUAUUGGCCCAGUUUUCAAGUUGGUCCAAAUCGGGGUCCAAAAUUAAACUUUGUUUGAUUUCAUCAAAAAUUGAAUACUUUGG